RNAcentral lists this ribosomal RNA (453 nucleotides) under uncultured cyanobacterium. RNAcentral describes it as "bacterial SSU rRNA". It matches the Rfam family "Bacterial small subunit ribosomal RNA", at positions 28 to 524 of the family's 1533-position model. The record is from RNAcentral. Lineage: Bacteria; Bacillati; Cyanobacteriota.
GAUGAACGCUGGCGGUCUGCUUAACACAUGCAAGUCGAACGGGCUCUUCGGAGCUAGUGGCGGACGGGUGAGUAACGCGUGAGAAUCUGCCCUCAGGUCGGGGAUAACAGUUCGAAAGAGCUGCUAAUACCGGAUGUGCCGCAAGGUAAAAGAUUUAUUGCCUGGGGAUGAGCUCGCGUCCGAUUAGCUAGUUGGUGGGGUAAUGGCUCACCAAGGCGACGAUCGGUAGCUGGUCUGAGAGGAUGAUCAGCCACACCGGAACUGAGACACGGUCCAGACUCCUACGGGAGGCAGCAGUGGGGGAAUUUUCCGCAAUGGGCGAAAGCCUGACGGAGCAAGACCGCGUGUGGGACGAAGGCUCUUGGGUCGUAAACCACUUUUGUCAGGGAAGAACACAAUGACGGUACCUGACGAAUAAGCCUCGGCUAACUCCGUGCCAGCAGCCGCGGUAAU